CAGUAGCCGCGGGAAUACAGAGGGUGCGAGCGUUAAUCGGAUUUACUGGGCGUAAAGCGUGCGUAGGCGGCUUUUUAAGUCGGAUGUGAAAUCCCUGAGCUUAACUUAGGAAUUGCAUUCGAUACUGGGAAGCUAGAGUAUGGGAGAGGAUGGUAGAAUUCCAGGUGUAGCGGUGAAAUGCGUAGAGAUCUGGAGGAAUACCGAUGGCGAAGGCAGCCAUCUGGCCUAAUACUGACGCUGAGGUACGAAAGCAUGGGGAGCAAACAGGUUUAGAUACCCGGGUAGUCCCUGUCUCUUAUAC
Molecule: ribosomal RNA, 301 nt
Filed under: uncultured bacterium
Lineage: Bacteria
Description: partial 16S ribosomal RNA
Rfam family: Bacterial small subunit ribosomal RNA
Source: RNAcentral